Molecule: ribosomal RNA, 514 nt
Filed under: Mycobacterium sp. N1725C
Lineage: Bacteria; Bacillati; Actinomycetota; Actinomycetes; Mycobacteriales; Mycobacteriaceae
Description: bacterial SSU rRNA
Rfam family: Bacterial small subunit ribosomal RNA
Source: RNAcentral
UGGAGAGUUUGAUCCUGGCUCAGGACGAACGCUGGCGGCGUGCUUAACACAUGCAAGUCGAACGGAAAGGCCCCUUCGGGGGUACUCGAGUGGCGAACGGGUGAGUAACACGUGGGCAAUCUGCCCUGCACUUCGGGAUAAGCCUGGGAAACUGGGUCUAAUACCGGAUAGGACCACUUGGCGCAUGCCUUGUGGUGGAAAGCUUUUGCGGUGUGGGAUGGGCCCGCGGCCUAUCAGCUUGUUGGUGGGGUGAUGGCCUACCAAGGCGACGACGGGUAGCCGGCCUGAGAGGGUGUCCGGCCACACUGGGACUGAGAUACGGCCCAGACUCCUACGGGAGGCAGCAGUGGGGAAUAUUGCACAAUGGGCGCAAGCCUGAUGCAGCGACGCCGCGUGGGGGAUGACGGCCUUCGGGUUGUAAACCUCUUUCACCAUCGACGAAGGUCCGGGUUUUCUCGGAUUGACGGUAGGUGGAGAAGAAGCACCGGCCAACUACGUGCCAGCAGCCGCGGUA